This 505-nucleotide ribosomal RNA is filed under the name Bacillus sp. HA-OP31. Its description in RNAcentral is "bacterial SSU rRNA". It matches the Rfam family "Bacterial small subunit ribosomal RNA", at positions 1 to 498 of the family's 1533-position model. The record is from RNAcentral. Lineage: Bacteria; Bacillati; Bacillota; Bacilli; Caryophanales; Bacillaceae.
UAGAGUUCGAUCAUGGCUCAGGAUGAACGCUGGCGGCGUGCCUAAUACAUGCAACUCGAGCGAAUGGAUUAAGAGCUUGCUCUUAUGAAGUUAGCGGCGGACGGGUGAGUAACACGUGGGUAACCUGCCCAUAAGACUGGGAUAACUCCGGGAAACCGGGGCUAAUCCGGAUAACAUUUUGAACCGCAUGGUUCGAAAUUGAAAGGCGGCUUCGGCUGUCACUUAUGGAUGGACCUCGUCGCAUUAGCUAGUUGGUGAGGUAACGGCUCACCAAGGCAACGAUGCGUAGCCGACCUGAGAGGGUGAUCGGCCACACUGGGACUGAGACACGGCCCAGACUCCUACGGGAGGCAGCAGUAGGGAAUCUUCCGCAAUGGACGAAAGUCUGACGGGAACAACGCCGCGUGAGUGAUGAAGGCUUUCGGGUCGUAAAACUCUGUUGUUAGGGAAGAACAAGUGCUAGUGAAUAAGCUGGCACUUGACGGACCACCCAGAACCCGCACCU